UGCGGGAUCGUCUAGUGGUAGGACGUCUGUCUCUGGAACAGAAAGCCCUGGUUCGAAUCCAGGUCCCGCGGCCA
Molecule: transfer RNA, 74 nt
Filed under: Chloroflexota bacterium
Lineage: Bacteria; Bacillati; Chloroflexota
Also listed under: 1 other name
Description: Chloroflexi bacterium tRNA-Gln
Rfam family: tRNA
About the family: Transfer RNA (tRNA) molecules are approximately 80 nucleotides in length.
Source: RNAcentral